This is a long non-coding RNA of Suricata suricatta (meerkat), 2220 nucleotides long. NCBI's taxonomy places the organism in Eukaryota, Metazoa, Chordata, Mammalia, Carnivora, Herpestidae. The record is from Ensembl.
GCUCCCCUACCCUCUGGCGAGUGCAUGCAGCGAAGAAUUAGACAGCAACUUACCUACUCUGAAGUUUUCUACAACAACAAAAGAUAUUGUCCUAGAAGGGGUUCUGGACCCAGCUCGGACCACCUACUGGGCUUUCCUGAAGCCUGGGUUCCCAGGCCUGGUGGUCAAAAGGACACCCCGCUGCCAGAGGGGAUAUGACCUCAGCAGCUGAUCCAGCCUGUUCAGCUCAGCCCUUCACUCAUCCAACAGCAUUUGAGAGCCACUGUGUGCAGGACUGAACUGUGGAAAUGUGCUAAAUCAAGAGAAAAGGAAGUUGGUAGAAUGAAAUACAUGUUGUAAUAGAGUCAGAAGCCAUGUGUGGGAGUGGAGAGGAGGAAGCAGUUCUGACAGGGCAGUUGGGAAAAGUUCAGUGGAGGAGGCGGUGGCAUCUGGGCUGACACGUGAUGGUUCUGGAUGGGUAGAGGUGGCUGAGAAGGGUGUUCCAAAGUGAAGAAAUAGUAUUAAAGCCAUGGAGGUGAAAAAGGCCAAGGUGAGUUGUUCAAGCAAUGGAUGUGAGCCUCGAGGGACUAAUAGGCCGCCUAGAACAAUAUGUGAAUCAGCAACCAAGUUAAAAACAGUAGGGGCUGGGGCAGGGUAGUGGCCUCUAGAAUACCUUGCCUGCCAGAGUUUCACCCUGUGCUGCAAGAGAAGCCAUCAAAGGUCUUGAGAGGUGGCACCCAGCCUUGUCAUUUCAAAGGGAACCAGUAGUCUCUUUUUCAAAACAUCCAGUCCAAGUCUGUCAGGUGAUUGAGAAAUGCUGCCUGAGGUGUUUGGUCUUUUGCCUUUUGGUCCUAUAAUAGGAGGAGUUUAAAAUUUUUUGUUGAUAUAUAAGAGCUGGGAGUAUAAGAAGUUCAGACUUCAAUUCUUAUUUUUUAAAAAAUCUUUGUUACCUUUGGCAUUAGAAUCUUUCAAUCCUAGAGCAAGAGUACUGGACAAAAUCUAGUCCCUCUGCCUUUAUGAAUUUGAGUUUAAGCUGGCCAAAUUUUCCUUUAGAAGAUUACAUUUGAACAGGUAUUGAGACACUGUUAAAAUCUAGAGCAGGAGCACCUGGCUGGCUUGAUUGGUAGAGGAUGUGACUUGAUCUUGGGGUUGUGAGUUCAAGCCCCACGUUGGGCUUAGAGAUUACUUUAAAAAAAACAAUACCUUAGAUGGUUGUGAGGAUUAAAUGAAAUAAUUGUAAAAUGUCUCACCGAGCACCUAAACUCAAAUCAGUGCUCCACACAUGGUCUCAGUUACUAAUAUCAUUAAUAAUAGACCAAGAAUUCCUUGAGAGGGACCUCUUUCAUCUGGCUCUCUUCAGAAUGUAUCCUGUCUUGGGGCACCUGGGUGGUUCAGUCAGUUAAGCAUCCAACUCUUCACCCUCAACUCAGGUCUUGAUCUCAGGGUCAUGAGUUCAAGCCCCACGUUGGGCUCACACUGGGUGUGAAGCCUACUUAAAUUUUUGUAUUAAUAUUUACAUGCUGUCUCUCAUUCUCACCUAAUGGGCCAAGUAGCCAGAAUGUGGGCUGUCCCUGGCUAGCCCUGGUUCUCAAGUUGUUUUGGGAAACGGAAAAGUCUGUAUGUAUCAAGAAAACCCAAACAAAAAGAAAAGAACACAGCCAUAGAGAACAAAAACUCGCAAAUGGAUGCAUAUACAAUUGGCUAAUGCUUUUACUGGUGUUUUCUUAAUCAGGACAGUGGCAGGGACAUGGUGUUAAUGGUUAUGUCUUCAAUGUAAAGAAUGAUGCCUGACACUUAACAGGUGCUCAUUAAAAGGUGGAAUUUUUUAAAGCUUAUUUAUUAUUUUGACAGAGAGUACACAAGCAGGGCAAAGAGAGGGAGAGAAAAUCCCAAGGAGUCUCUACAGUGUCAACACAGGGCUCAAACCCACAAACCAUGAGAUCAUGACCUGAGCUGAAAUCAAGAAUCAGAUACUUAACCAACUAAGCUACCCAGCACCCCUAAUAGGCAGAAUUUAAAAAUCACUAUUGAAUCCCUAUUCCUUGCCAGGCAAUUUUUAGACCUGCUCUGAAGAGGAGCUGGUAUAAUUUCCAUGUUGCCAACAAAAAAACGGGAGCUUGGAUUUUUCCUCAAGAAUAGGUCAUUGCAUCAAUGGCAAAGUCAGGAUUUGAGCUCAGAUGAUUUUGCCUCUCUAAAGCGUAUGCUAUUUUGGGGCGCCUGGUAGGCUCAGUCGGUUUAAGU